GAGGGUUUAGUUUAAAAAAACAUUAAUUCGUCAAAUUAAAAUUAUUUCUAAUAAAAUAACUCUUU
Molecule: transfer RNA, 65 nt
Filed under: Japanagallia malaisei
Lineage: Eukaryota; Metazoa; Arthropoda; Insecta; Hemiptera; Cicadellidae
Description: tRNA-Asp
Source: RNAcentral